GGGCUGUGACUCAGGGGCAGAGCAGCUGCCUUGCAUGUAGAAGGUCCCAGGGUCAAUUCCUGACAGCAUCU
Molecule: non-coding RNA, 71 nt
Organism: Podarcis lilfordi (Lilford's wall lizard)
Lineage: Eukaryota; Metazoa; Chordata; Lepidosauria; Squamata; Lacertidae
Source: the annotation of a GenBank genome assembly